This is a long non-coding RNA of Equus caballus (horse), 2976 nucleotides long. The record is from Ensembl. NCBI's taxonomy places the organism in Eukaryota, Metazoa, Chordata, Mammalia, Perissodactyla, Equidae.
GGGGGUUGUGGCAGAAAGAGUAGAUCCUGGGGAGAAAGCACAGUGUACAGAAAUCCAAGAAAGCAGCUGAGAACUGGUAAAUAGCCCAGUCUGAUUAAGGUUCAAAAAAGAAGCAGAAUAAGGCUAGGAAGGUGAGUUGCCCCAAAUUGCGGGAUCUUAAAUGGGAUCUAGGAGGCAACAGGGCAUCCUCACAGGUGUCUGAACAGGGUGUGGGAUGACAGUGUUUCAGGAGGAGCCAGGCCAGCCUGGGAGCCUUUGGAAGCCUCGGAGGGGUCCUCUACAGGGAAGUGAAGUGGUGGAUCCAGGAAGAAGGAGAGCAUGCCAUAGACACCCAGGGAGAUACUGCGCAUACAGCCCUGUUUUAUCCUGCUGGCUUUGAGCUACUCUGUACUCUCCCACCUUAUGGUCAGGAACGGCAGCCCUGGCUGGCUUGGACCACGUCGCAGUGACACUGAUGUGUCAUUUAUUCUUUGUUACCUGUGGUUGCUCUUAUAGGUGUUUAAUGUGAAACAGAGGGAGUACGGUAUCUUCUCUAUAUAUUGGGUUGUUGCUUGUGAGUUUAUUUAGAUAGUGUAUGUUUUCUCAAUGUCCAUGAUGAAGUGGAGGAAGAAGUGAAGGAAAUGAGAACAAGGAAGUGGGCAGGCGUGACUUCCUUAUAUUUCCAGAAGGCAGAGCUUUUCAGACUUUCCACUAGAGAACUUUUAUUGGGACCUAGGAUUCUGCGGUGUGGCCAAUUGUGGCCAACUGAAAGCAUCCAUUUCUUUGUGGUUUAGUGUUCUGCCUUAAAAUUUCAUGUAAAUUCUGCACUCCCAUAAUAUAUCCAUCCCUCCUGUUAUGAUGUACCUAGUUUACCCUGUGGCUUUGAGGACCUCCGGCUCACCACCACGGACUUCCCUCCAGCAAGAGGCCGUCGUGAUUGUUCUGUCUAGGACUGGAUUAUUGAUUUGGACAAGUCACUUGAAAGACAGCUUUAACCGAUCUAUUUCACUAUGAUCAAAGAAAACAGCUUGUAAAUCUUCCUUGCCUUCUUUUCUUUUUGCUGCAUAGGUUGGCAGUUGGCAGAUUUUAACAUAUGUCUUAGUAACCACUUGGAUGGGAAAAUACUCUUCAAUUAAAGAUCCUUUUGUUUACAGAAAAGUCCAUAGAGAUAGACGGAUAGUAAAGUCUAAUCGCCAGCUUCUCCAUAAUGCGAGACCUAUGUGGGGAGAAUCUGAGGAGGGAAGAGGAGUUUUGGAGAGGAGAGGAGGACCUGGUCAUUUGACUGAUAAGGUUGACAGCAGGAAACUAGCCCUGGUUGAUUAUCUUUGUAAAAAAUGGGUACACUCUCUAGAGCUCCUUCCCCACACACCAUAGCAUCUCUUGCUCCAAAGGCUUAUGAGCUCCAGGUAUAUGUUGCUAACUAUAAGUUGCUUCUCUCCUUCCAAGGUCUUGGCUUCCUCUCAAAUCUCCAGCUUCUGAUCGCCAACAUGCUCUUUUCAGCUCAGCUUUUCUAUUCUCUUCCUCCUCUUGGGCAUUCUGCAGCUCAUUCGCCUUUAUCCCAUCUUGAUGAAGGAGUUAAGAGAUUCCGUCUGCUCAUCCCAUCUGUUACUUCCUGGUUUUCUCCAGAGAAAUACCCUUUAAUGGAGCAUGAAUGUCAGGUCUUCCCCAAAUGCUGACCCUGUUGUUCACUUGGACUGAAUGAGGGCCUUUCUCCUCACUGAUUCUUGGCAGCUGGCUCACUCCUCUGUGGCAGGGUUGUGUUUGGCGGGGUUAAGCCUACCUGGGGAAUCGUGAGUCUCCCUCCUGCGGCAGCCUCGCCAGGGUCUUCCUGCCCCAGACCCUGCUCUGGGGCACCUGCUCUGAUCCCAGUACAGUUCUCACAAUGACUGCAUAGCAUGGGACCACUAUGGCUGGUAAUGGCUUAAGAUUUAGAAUGUUUUUGGUAAUGGUAAUGGAAUGGUAAUAGUUCAUUCUAAAUACCUUUCUUCAUGUUCCAAUUGCCAGCCCAUCCAUUUUCUUUCCUGGUCAAGCUAAGUUACAGCAGAUAAAAUACAUCAGUCACUUGUUAAAUAUUCCUUGAUAUCGAUAUGCCUCUAUGAGAGAUCUGUAGUCACAGAAACUCUCAAACAUGAGCCAAGAAGAAAAAACUGUGUGGCAACUGCCCAACUUUAAUAUCCUACCAUCCACUUCCUGUUUAUUGCUUAAGACUUGAUGAACUUGUAUGUGCCACUGCCCAGGGCACAUGAGAGUCACCCAGAGCCCUGUUAGAUGACUGUUUUCAUAUGAAGAGGAAGGAACUGCUCCUCUCAGACCUUGGGGACAGAUUUAGAACCAUCACCUGACAGGGUCCAGUUCCCCACCGCGGAGUUGGGAAGUAGCUGGAAGGAAAGCAAAAGAGAAAUUACACCUGGAUUUCAAACAGAAGCACAAGCAGUCUCUUAACACUCCAGUUUAUGGCAAAGGAAGCAUCUCUGAAGAGAGAUGUUGUCUGCUGGAAUUCCCUGAACAUGAUAAACUGUCCUGGGAGGGGCACUUUCAGGGGGCCACUUUGGGGACAGCUGAAGCCAUAGUUGGAUCUGUUACCUAACGUCAGGGUUGGAUAUAGGAGAAUGGUUGAGGAGAGGGGCUGGAAGAAAGAGGGAAAAUGCUAGUCUCCAAUGAGAAGAGUCUGGGGUACGGGGAGAAGGGAAGGAGAAAUAAACUCUCCAGGUCAGCUCAAAGUCCCACGUCUUGGAGGGGGUUGAGGUCUGACCCUAUACCCUGGCCAAGCCCUUCAAUUCCUUGCAAAAGGAGUGGAAGCCAUUCCAGCAUCUCAGCACCAGCCCAAGCUGCAAGCUCAAAAAACAGCAGAGAGUGUGCCGAGCUCUGGUGUCGGCAGGGACAGCCGGCGGCCUCACUGUGGAGAGAGGAGCAACAGAGAAGGUCCUGGCCAGUAGGGCUUUCUCUAGACUCCAUUCUCCACCAGCUCCCAGAGUUUCUGCCGAUGACAGUUAAAAU